Molecule: ribosomal RNA, 430 nt
Filed under: Bacillus sp. PSu5_12
Lineage: Bacteria; Bacillati; Bacillota; Bacilli; Caryophanales; Bacillaceae
Description: bacterial SSU rRNA
Rfam family: Bacterial small subunit ribosomal RNA
Source: RNAcentral
GUCGAGCGGACCGACGGGAGCUUGCUCCCUUAGGUCAGCGGCGGACGGGUGAGUAACACGUGGGUAACCUGCCUGUAAGACUGGGAUAACUCCGGGAAACCGGGGCUAAUACCGGAUGCUUGAUUGAACCGCAUGGUUCAAUCAUAAAAGGCGGCUUCGGCUGCCGUUUACCGAUGGACCCGCGGCGCAUUAGCUAGUUGGUGAGGUAACGGCUCACCAAGGCGACGAUGCGUAGCCGACCUGAGAGGGUGAUCGGCCACACUGGGACUGAGACACGGCCCAGACUCCUACGGGAGGCAGCAGUAGGGAAUCUUCCGCAAUGGACGAAAGUCUGACGGAGCAACGCCGCGUGAGUGAUGAAGGUUUUCGGAUCGUAAAGCUCUGUUGUUAGGGAAGAACAAGUACCGUUCGAAUAGGGCGGUACCUUGAC